AUGAGUCGACCUGAUGGGAUCAACAUCCCCGACGGCAAGUUCUACCUUGGAGAUGUUGGCUAUGCAUGUCGGCCGGGUAUUCUUCCACCCUUCAGGAAAACCAGGUACCAUCUCAACAAGUUCUCUGGUAGGAACUAUCCUAGGACUGCACAGGAGCUGUUUAAUCUCAGACACUCCAGCCUUAGAGUAACUGUUGAGAGGGCAUUUGGAGCUCUGAAGAAUAGGUUUAAGAUCCUGGAUCAGAAGUCAUUCCACCCAUACUCCACUCAGGUUAAGCUAGUUCUUGCUUGUUGCAUUCUGCAUAACUGGAUCCUCUAG
This 318-nucleotide ribosomal RNA is filed under the name Triticum aestivum (bread wheat). RNAcentral's name for it is "partial small subunit ribosomal RNA". The record is from RNAcentral. Lineage: Eukaryota; Viridiplantae; Streptophyta; Magnoliopsida; Poales; Poaceae.